Long non-coding RNA from Oncorhynchus nerka (sockeye salmon), 2839 nucleotides. RefSeq lists it as uncharacterized. The transcript has 2 exons. Lineage: Eukaryota; Metazoa; Chordata; Actinopteri; Salmoniformes; Salmonidae. The record is from RefSeq and is a predicted model, not a curated record.
GGUUGGAUGUUGAGGGAAGGUUGGAUGUUGAGGGAAGGUUGGAUGUUGAGGGAAGGUUGGAUGUUGAGGGAAGGUUGGAUGUUGAGGGAAGGUUGGAUGUUGAGGGAAGGUUGGAUGUUGAGGGAAGGUUGGAUGUUGAGGGAAGGUUGGAUGUUGAGGGAAGGUUGGAUGUUGAGGGAAGGUUGGAUGUUGAGGGAAGGUUAGGGUUGAGGGAAGGUUAGAUGUUGAGGGAAGGUUAGGGUUGGAUGUUGAGGGAAGGUUAGUUUUAGAUGUUGAGGGAAGGUUCGUUUUAGAUGUUGAGGGAAGGUUAGUUUUAGAUGUUGAGGGAAGGUUAGAUGUUGAGGGAAGGUUAGAUUUAGAUGUUGAGGGAAGGUUAGAUUUAGAUGUUGAGUGAAGGUUAGAUGUUGAGUGAAGGUUAGGGUUGAGGGAAGGUUAGGGUUGAGGGAAGGUUAGGGUUGGAUGUUGAAGGAAGGUUAGGGUUGGGGAAGGUUAGUUUUAGAUGUUGAGGGAAGGUUAGGGUUGGAUGUUGAGGGAAGGUUAGGGUUGAGGGAAGAUUAGGGGACGGUUAGUUUUAGAUGUUGAGGGACGGUUAGUUUUAGAUGUUGAGGGACGGUUAGUUUUAGAUGUUGAGGGAAGGUUAGGGUUGAGGGAAGGUUAGUUUUAGAUGUUCAGGGAAGGUUAGGGUUGAGGGAAGGUUAGGGUUACAGUAUUUGAUACUAUACUACUGAUGUAUUUUGACUUGUUACACACUACCACACACUCUACCACACACUCUACCGCACACUCUACCGCACACACUACCACACACACUACCACACACUCUACCGCACACACUACCGCACACACUACCACACACACUACCACUACCACACACACUACCACUACCACACACACUACCACUACCCCAGUCAGAAUUUGUCUCAGUGAAUCCCUUUGGUUGUUGAGGGAAGAUGAAUCUGAACAUGAUGUAUUUAUGUAGACUCCUUUCGAUCUCUACCUGUGUGUGUUUGUGGUUAAACGUUUUACCUACCUGGGGUUCAAAUACUUUCUAAAAGUCGUUUGAAAUUAUUUGAGCGUUUGCUUCAGUCUGCCUCGAAUGCCAGAUGGCCAGGGUUUGUACUUUUGGGACUUUUCUAUUUAUUUAUUUAUUUUAAUGUCGAGAAGCUCAAUCAAGCCUAGAUACUUUUUCUGAAAUUAUGUCGAAUAGUAUUUGAACCCGGGCCUACUACCUGUACUCACACUGAGUGCACAAAACAUUAAGAACACCUGCUCUUUCCAUGACAUAGACUGACCAGGUGAAUCCAGGUGAAAACUAUGAUCCCUUAUUGAUGUUACCUGUUGAAUCCACUUCAAUCAGUGUAGAGGAAGGGGAGGAGACGGGUUAAAGAAGGAUGUUUAAGCCCUGAGACAAUGGCGACAUGGGUUGUGUCUGUGUGCCAUUCAGAGGGUGAAAGGUCAAGACAAAAUAUUGAAGUGCUUUUGAACAGGGUAUGAUAGUACGUUCCAGGCGCACCGGUUUGUGUCAAUGUAACAGUAUAACUUUAGUCCGUCCCCUCACCCAUACCCGGGCUCGAACCAGGGACCCUUUGCACACAUCAACAACAGACACCCUCGAAGCAUCGUUACCCAUCACUACACAAAAGCUGCGGCCCUUGCAGAGCAAAGGGGGAAUAACUACUUCAAGGUCUCAGAGCGAGUGACGUCACCGAUUUGAAACGCUAUUAGCGCGCACCACCGCUAACUAGCUAGCUAUUUCACAUCGGUUACAUCAAGAACUGUAAGGCUGCUAGGUUUUUCAGUUUCCCAUAUGUAUCAAGAAUGGUCCGACACCCAAAGGAGUCAACAUUAGGAAGGUGUUCUUAAUAUUUAGUAUGCUCAGUACUCAACAUUAGGAAGGUGUUCUUAAUAUUUAGUAUGCUAGGUACUCAACAUUAGGACGGUGUUCUUAAUAUUUAGUAUGCUAGGUACUCAACAUUAGGACGGUGUUCUUAAUAUUUAGUAUGCUAGGUACUCAACAUUAGGACGGUGUUCUUAAUAUUUAGUAUGCUAGGUACUCAACAUUAGGAAGGUGUUCUUAAUAUUUUGUAUGCUCAGUAGUCCACAUUAGGAAGGUGUUCUUAAUAUUUUGUAUACUCAGUGUAUUUUAUGUGUUCUAUUCAUAUGAAGGGGAGAUAUGGUAUUUGUCCCAAACAGCACCCUUAUUUAUUUAACCAGGCAAGUCAGUUCAGAACAAAUUCUUAUUUUCAAUGACGGCCUAGGAACAGUGGGUUAACUGCCUGUUCAGGGGAGAACAACAGAUUUGUAACUUGUCAGCUCGGGGGUUUGAACUUGCUUGAGUCCAACGCUCUAACCACUAGGCUACCUUGCCGCCCCAACCCUAUUCCCUAUAUAGUGCACUAACUACUAGAGUACCAUUUGAGACGGCUACCAUUACGUUGAUUCUAACAACAUGAUCAGGGUACUUGGUUUGCCUCUUGGUUUUAUGUUGAAACGUUAACAGUUUUUAUUUAUUCAUAAUGACAUUGUUACUGGGAUACCGACUCGUUUUUUUCUCAUCUUGAUUUUGUUUUGUUGACAGCGGAGUGGAAUGUAUAUAUGUGUACAGAGGAGGAAUCGUGUUUCAUGAUGACGUUUACAUUUAUUAAUAUGUCGAUAUUUUACUGUGUAUCUGUCCCAAAUGGCGCUCUUAUUCCCAAUUUAGUGCACUACUUUUAAAGGGAAUGGGAUGCCAUUUUGGACGUAUUGUGUGUAUCUCUGACUGUGAACUACAACUGUGUGUGUUUUCUAAAUGCUGCUGGGGACUACUGCAUUAUGUGGAAGUAAAAUAUUUUAAAUCUGG